This 669-nucleotide ribosomal RNA is filed under the name Diversispora sp. W2423. RNAcentral's name for it is "SSU rRNA". It matches the Rfam family "Eukaryotic small subunit ribosomal RNA", at positions 494 to 1162 of the family's 1831-position model. Lineage: Eukaryota; Fungi; Glomeromycota; Glomeromycetes; Diversisporales; Diversisporaceae. The record is from RNAcentral.
AUUUGGGUCUCGUAAUUGGAAUGAGUACAAUUUAAAUCUCUUAACGAGGAACAAUUGGGGGGCAAGUCUGGUGCCAGCAGCCGCGGUAAUUCCAGCUCCAAUAGCGUAUAUUAAAGUUGUUGCAGUUAAAAAGCUCGUAGUUGAACUUCGGGGUCUACCCAUUGGUCAGGCUUAAUUGUCUGCACUGGUGAGAUGGAUCUCUACCUUCUGAGGAACUUUCAUGCCAUUUAUUUGGUGUGGUUGGAAAUCAGGACUGUUACUUUGAAAAAAUUAGAGUGUUUAAAGCAGACUAUCGUCUGAAUACAUUAGCAUGGAAUAAUGAAAUAGGACGGACUGAUUCUAUUUCGUUGGUUUCUAGGAUCACCGUAAUGAUUAAUAGGGAUAGUUGGGGGCAUUAGUAUUCAAUUGUCAGAGGUGAAAUUCUUGGAUUUAUUGAAGACUAACUACUGCGAAAGCAUUUGCCAAGGAUGUUUUCAUUAAUCAAGAACGAAAGUUAGGGGAUCGAAGACGAUCAGAUACCGUCGUAGUCUUAACCAUAAACUAUGCCGACUAGGGAUCGGACGAAGUUAAUUUUAUAAUGACGCGUUCGGCACCUUACGGGAAACCAAAGUGUUUGGGUUCCGGGGGGAGUAUGGUCGCAAGGCUGAAACUUAAAGGAAUUGACGGAAG